UGUGUCAUUUGGUCUCUUGUGGAGUGUUGUCACAUUGGCAACACAUACCACAUCUUCUUAUUUUUAUAAACAAUAGUACUCUGUGUUUUUUAUCGAUAUUUUUGCUUAUUUAUCUUUCGUUAUUUAAACUACACUAAUCAGUUUUAUUUAGGACUUAAGAAGCCAGUUGAACCCAUUGAUGUCCUUCGUAACCUCUUGUUGGGAGAUAGAGGACAAAACCAGUGCAACGAAGGGUUUUCUUACAAUAAACUGACACGAAAAUGUGAGGAGGAUAAAGAUAGAUCCAAUCUUUCUGAAAGACCAGAGAAGCCAAUUGACCCCAUGUACGUCCUUCGUAACCUUUUAUUGGGAGAUAGAGGAGAAAACCAGUGCAGCGAAGGUUUUUCUUACAAUAAAUUGACAGGAAAAUGUGAAGAAGAUAAUAAUAGAUCCAAGCUUUCUGAAAGAUAUGGAUGUUGUAAUAGUGGCACAAUUGAUUAAAAACAGGAGGAAAAGAUUAUUAUUGUUAUAAAUAAA
Molecule: long non-coding RNA, 516 nt
Organism: Mytilus californianus (California mussel)
Lineage: Eukaryota; Metazoa; Mollusca; Bivalvia; Mytilida; Mytilidae
Exons: 3
Source: RefSeq, a predicted model, not a curated record